RNAcentral lists this ribosomal RNA (426 nucleotides) under uncultured bacterium. RNAcentral's name for it is "bacterial SSU rRNA". It matches the Rfam family "Bacterial small subunit ribosomal RNA", at positions 355 to 772 of the family's 1533-position model. The record is from RNAcentral.
UAGGGAAUUGUUCGCAAUGGGCGCAAGCCUGACGACGCAACGCCGCGUGGAGGAUGAAGACCUUCGGGUCGUAAACUCCUUUCGACCGAGAUGAAUACCCACCGACCUAAUACGUUGGUGGGCUGACAGUAUCGAGGGAAGAAGCCCCGGCUAACUCCGUGCCAGCAGCCGCGGUAAUACGUAGGGUGCGAGCGUUAAUCGGAAUUACUGGGCGUAAAGUGUGCGCAGGCGGCGUCGCAAGUCGAGUGUGAAAGCCCCGGGCUUAACUUGGGAAUUGCGCUCGAAACUACGAUGCUGGAGUAUGGCAGAGGAAGGUGGAAUUCCACGUGUAGCGGUGAAAUGCGUAGAGAUGUGGAGGAACACCGAUGGCGAAGGCAGCCUUCUGGGCCAAUACUGACGCUCAUGCACGAAAGCGUGGGGAGCAAA